GAUGAACGCUGGCGGCGUGCCUAAUACAUGCAAGUCGAACGCAUUGAGAGAAGUGCUUGCACUUUUCAAUUUGAGUGGCGAACGGGUGAGUAACACGUGGGCAACCUACCUGAUAGCGGGGGAUAACGAGUGGAAACAUUCGCUAAUACCGCAUAACAAUAGAGAAGGCAUCUUCUUUAUUUAAAAGGCGCUUUCAAGCGUCACUAUCAGAUGGGCCCGCGGUGCAUUAGUUAGUUGGUGGGGUGAAGGCCUACCAAGACGAUGAUGCAUAGCCGAGUUGAGAUACUGAUCGGCCACAUUGGGACCGGGACACGGCCCAAACUCCUACGGGAGGCUGCAGUAGGGAAUCUUCCACAAUGGACGAAAGUCUGAUGGAGCAACGCCGCGUGUGUGAUGAAGGCUUUCGGGUCGUAAGCACUGUUGUAUGUGAAGAAAUGCUAGGCUAGGAAAUGAGCUUAGUUUGACGGUACCAUACCAGAAAGGGACGGCUAAAUACGUGCCAGCCGCCGCGGUAA
This 515-nucleotide ribosomal RNA is filed under the name uncultured bacterium. RNAcentral's name for it is "partial 16S ribosomal RNA". It matches the Rfam family "Bacterial small subunit ribosomal RNA", at positions 28 to 523 of the family's 1533-position model. The record is from RNAcentral.